Molecule: ribosomal RNA, 609 nt
Filed under: Sarocladium kiliense
Lineage: Eukaryota; Fungi; Ascomycota; Sordariomycetes; Hypocreales; Sarocladiaceae
Description: partial large subunit ribosomal RNA
Rfam family: Eukaryotic large subunit ribosomal RNA
Source: RNAcentral
UUGCAUAUCCAAAAGCGGAGGAAAAGAAACCAACAGGGCAUGCCUCAGUAACGGCGAGUGAAGCGGCAACAGCUCAAAUUUGAAAUCUGGCCGCAAGGUCCGAGUUGUAAUUUGCAGAGGAUGCUUUUGGCGAGGUGCCUUCCGAGUUCCCUGGAACGGGACGCCAUAGAGGGUGAGAGCCCCGUACGGUAGGACCACCGAGCCUCUGUAAAGCUCCUUCGACGAGUCGAGUAGUUUGGGAAUGCUGCUCUAAAUGGGAGGUGUACGUCUUCUAAAGCUAAAUACCGGCCAGAGACCGAUAGCGCACAAGUAGAGUGAUCGAAAGAUGAAAAGCACUUUGAAAAGAGGGUUAAAAAGUACGUGAAAUUGUUGAAAGGGAAGCAUUCAUGACCAGACUUGGGCUUGGUUGAACAUCCGGCGUUCUCGCCGGUGCACUCUGCCAGUCCAGGCCAGCAUCAGUUUGCCCCGGGGGAUAAAGGCGGUGGGAAUGUGGCACCCUUCGGGGUGUGUUAUAGCCCGCCGUGUAAUGCCCUGGGGCGGACUGAGGAACGCGCUUCGGCACGGAUGCUGGCGUAAUGGUCAUCAAUGACCCGUCUUGAACACGGACCA